RNAcentral lists this unclassified non-coding RNA (253 nucleotides) under uncultured Alphaproteobacteria bacterium. Its description in RNAcentral is "contains 16S-23S intergenic spacer region". It matches the Rfam family "Bacterial small subunit ribosomal RNA", at positions 524 to 776 of the family's 1533-position model. The record is from RNAcentral. Lineage: Bacteria; Pseudomonadati; Pseudomonadota; Alphaproteobacteria.
UACGUAGGUGGCAAGCGUUGUUCGGAAUUACUGGGCGUAAAGGGCGCGCAGGCGGUUGGUCGCGUCAGAUGUGAAAGCCCCGGGCUCAACCUGGGAUGUGCAUUUGAUACGGGCUGACUAGAGAUCGGAAGAGGAGUGUGGAAUUCCCAGUGUAGAGGUGAAAUUCGUAGAUAUUGGGAGGAACACCAGUGGCGAAGGCGGCACUCUGGUCCGUAUCUGACGCUGAGGCGAGAAAGCGUGGGGAGCAAACAGG